Molecule: ribosomal RNA, 372 nt
Filed under: Triticum aestivum (bread wheat)
Lineage: Eukaryota; Viridiplantae; Streptophyta; Magnoliopsida; Poales; Poaceae
Description: partial small subunit ribosomal RNA
Source: RNAcentral
AUGGCGUUCAUCGACGCCUCCUCCGGCCGUUCAAGUACGCGGCCCGUGGAGGUUCACAACUACAGGGCCCUCGAAAUCCCACUCCUGCCAUGCUCAGAUGAGGAAGGUUUCGGCCUCGUACUUCUGAUUUCAUACACUCUGUCAUUUUUCACCCAUUUUAUUUCAACAAAGAUGGUUGUUUUAUGCUUGCCCUGCAAUGCUACUACAAAUCUGCAGGCCAAAAAACUAACUUCACCAAAAACAAGAAAAAAGAUGAGCACAGACGCCCGUCGAUGUCCGCUGUGUUAUCCUACUGAUGAAGUAAUUCAAGGAGCAGGUGGUUUCGUUCGCCUGAAGCACCAACAUAAAAAAAUCAAUUUUGGUUCUCUGUAG